Syngnathus typhle (broad-nosed pipefish) is the source of this 3610-nucleotide long non-coding RNA. RefSeq lists it as uncharacterized. NCBI's taxonomy places the organism in Eukaryota, Metazoa, Chordata, Actinopteri, Syngnathiformes, Syngnathidae. The record is from RefSeq and is a predicted model, not a curated record. The transcript is spliced from 4 exons.
UUGGUGAUUUGAAUUGACCUUUCUCGGCUACCGUACACUUCCGCUUCAGUGAGCAGGUAGCUUUAGGUUGUUACCUUUUGGGCUUUCGAGUGAGUCAUGUCAACUUUUUCCAAGCUCUCGAUUUGCUGUAUGUAUGUAAAUGCAUACAUGUAAACAAUGACAUGAAAGGAGAAUAUUUGUUAGUCGUUAGGUCUGUGGAAACUCGCUAGUUCUCGUGAAACAAGAGGUGGAGCGUUAGCUAGCACGCCCACAAGCAGCACUCACUCGGCUGUCAAUCAAUGGAUUAUCAAGGAAAGCGUUUGAUUUGAACGUUGGUUUUCUAUGUUUUGCCACGUCCAACCUUGAAGACUGGAGGCUCCACGUCGGCUGCCGGUCGUCUAUCUGCAUAUCUCGAAAGAGUAAACAUUCAAUCACAAUAAAGUAACAAGUUGAAUGGCAGUCUGCUCGUUGCAGAGUGGUGAAGCGGUCAGCCAGAGGGACGAGUGGUGAAGCGGUCGGCCAGAGGGACGAGUGGUAAAUCGGUCGGCCAGAGGGACGAGUGGUGAAGCGGUCGGCCAGAGGGAUGAGUGAUAGGUCAGUGGGACGAGUGUUACUCCAUGCCUGGACCAGAGACAAAAAGAGAUUCAUGACCAGGAGGCUGAUUUUGUUCCUUGCUGCCUGUCAGAAAAUAGGAGAAAAAAAUUAUUGGAAUUAAAGAUAAGAUUGUGCAAUGAGGAGCAUUCAAAGUGCCUCACUUCUCAGGUUGCUUUAGAGCUGAGUAAGUAACAAGAACAUUAAAGAGCUGCUGGUAUGCGGCUCUGCUUCCGCUAUGAGCAGCAGAGGGCUCUUCAGGCAGGUCAACGAGCUCACAGAGGCUGAAGACAAUCUGUGGCAGGCUUUUCACUUUCUGGACCUGGAUUUGCCACCUGUGCCUGGAAAGAAAAAGGAACAUUGACAACUCAUUUUAAGUUUACUGCUUUUAUUUUUAACUGUAGCGUGGAAGCAGUCAGUUGCUGGUGCACAGGCAGAGUUCCUUCAAUGUUGUAAAAACUCUCCAGGAUGGACACCUGCACACAGAGACCAAUCAAGCUGCCAUUUAGUACAUUUUAUUGUAGAGUCAACUCUGAAAACCGAGACAACCUUGAGGUACCUCUGCAUGGUUUUCGAGGGCUUUUACCUUUGGCCAGCAGAUAGUAGACGCUCCAACUGCAUCCUUGCAGGAAGAGGGAGGCAUAAAAAAUAAAGCAGGUAAGUGCUUUUAAACAAUGCCAAGUUUACAGUAACCUGGACAAGAGGUUGAUGAUGCCACAGGAUUAAAACCAUGUAGAUCUUCACCAUGCUACGGAAACUAGGACCUUUGGCCCCACCUGGUGGAGAAAAAGACAAACAGGCUGAAAUGUUUGACAUGUGUCAAACAUUUGGACGCGUGCAUGUUUCACCAGUGACGAAUGGAGGGCACCACCGGACGGCUCUCCAACCACAGCUCGCUGGUCUGAAAGACACGGUAAUGUUACUACCAUUCUGCUUUUACAUUUUCAGCCUAACAAGAAAAUUGAGCAAGAGUAGACCUGCAAGUGUCCCAUGAAGCCAUGAGAGGACUGCAAGGUGGCCAUUUUGGAUCCUGCAGACAAAAGAAAAAGAACAAAUGUUUGCUUUCGUCAAUUUGACAAGAUGCCUUGCUAAUACAAAUAUUUUUGCCAUUUUGCAGUCAGCCUGUUCCCUCGGUUCCAGAUGCAGGCCUGUGGACAGAAAUGAAGACAAUUAGAAGCAGUCGAUUGAAAGCGUUGACUUUAAAACUCACGAAGUCAGUCGGCCAUGACGGGCUCGUUUUGAGGGUUUGCACCUGCAGACAGAAAGUAGCAGAUUAACACGAAUGCAUCAAAAUACCUGUUUCAGUAAUUCUCUGGUGGAUUCAUGCAAACGCUGCUAUGUCUACUUACCUUCGGCCAAACGGCGCUGUCGUCCAGACGUUGCUAAAUGUUUGUGCAAAAAUAGUGUUAGUCAUCUUUUCACACGGUGCGUGCCUCAGUUUUCAAAAUGCGCAUGUACUUACCCACAGUUAACUGCUUACUUUGUUUGGUUGCACGCCAGAUAAAUGCGUUUUGGUGGUCGUUGGAGAUGUUAACUGCUAACGCUAGCUUCUGCAAACGUUUGAGCUUGCAAGAUGGAAGCACGCCCAAAGUGCAACUAGACGCUGAAAGAGAGCAAAAGCAGUUAGUUUCAAAAGGUCUAACAAAAGUUGAACACCCACCUUGUCACUUUUACACGCUGUUGUACGGCCGGCGCAGCAGGUGGACCAGAGCAACGUGGCUCUCGCUGUCAGUGGUGAGUGCCAGAAUGAGCGUCGCGUUCAUGACGCCUUUUAUAGUCUUUUUGUGAUGACGUCAUUAGAAGAAGAAGGGGAAAAAAAAGAAAAACCCUUUCAAACAGGUGCUAGUGCAAGAGAAAAACUUCAAACACUAAUCUUUGCAGGGUCCCGGGCUCGAACCAGCACUGCAUAUUUCGGAGGCAAUGGUAUUAUCCCCUCGACCAUUGUCCGCUGUAAGAUUUCACAAGAAUUCUUUUGUAUUGUCCUAAACUAUGAGGAUAUAUGCAAUAAAGGUUCAGAAUAACCUUCAAUUACAACCACUUGACCGUCGAAUGUAAGAUCUCGAAUGGCCGAGUGGUCAUAGCUUUUCUUGGAGUUUGGGAGAGGCGGGUUCGAUUCUUAUAUGUUGCUCUAUUUAAUUUGCAAAAGCUGCAAAGACCAAGUCUCGAACCCGAGGCUGCUGGACACCAGCCCAAGUCGUAAACCAUUCAGCCAUUUUGGCGUAGAAUUUUUCUGAGUUUUUUUUAUAUAUUUAUAGUAUAUGUCUCACGGAAUAGAUAAAAUUACCAAAUUAUCCAAUUCUUUCAGAAUACCAACUGGUGUAAUGGUUAACGCUUUUGCCUUCUGUUCGGGAGAACCGAGUUCGAGUCUCACACUGCGUAAACUUUAGCUCAAAGUCCGCUUCGUGUGGGGCUCGAACCAUAGUCUCCCGAACACCGGGUAAAGUUAAAAACCAUUAUGCCAUUUUGCCAGCGAAACUCGGCACUUUUUUUUCGGAAGUGUACUGAAGAAUUGCAACUUAUUCAAACCUAAAUUACCAUUGCUGUAAUACUCAAUGGUGUAGUAGGAAAAGCCUUUGCCUUGUGAGCGGGAGAACAUGAUUCGAAUCUUACACAGAUUCAACUGUAGUCAAAGACUGGUUCGUGUGGGGCUCGAACCAUGGUCUCCCGAACACCGGGUAAAGUUAUAAACCAUUCUGCCACUCUGCGGGGAAAUCCCGCUGGUUUUUCUUUCGUAGUGUAUUGUACAUAGAGGACGUUGUCACGGAAAAAUUGACAUGUUCAUUUUACGCUGGGUUACAUACAAGUGAAUGGAGGCACUGCCAUCUUGCGGUAGCUUGGCGUCAUUACAUAAACCGCUUCAGAAACUAGAGUCAAAAGCCUGUGUUUAAUAUUGUACGACGUACGUAUUCAUUUAAUUCUGCUUAUGUGAUGAUAUUUUAAAUGUACAAUUAAAUACUCAUAUGUUUAAGUUCUAAUAACCAUAUUGUAACUUAAUUAAAAUGAUAUUGUCAUUAAAGAGAGAGCAAUGAUGAAAUGGAAA